This 21-nucleotide non-coding RNA is filed under the name Caenorhabditis elegans. The record is from RNAcentral. Lineage: Eukaryota; Metazoa; Nematoda; Chromadorea; Rhabditida; Rhabditidae.
UCAAGAAUUACGGAUGCCGCC